RNAcentral lists this ribosomal RNA (257 nucleotides) under Myzostoma sp. RNAcentral describes it as "partial ribosomal RNA large subunit". It matches the Rfam family "Eukaryotic large subunit ribosomal RNA", at positions 1549 to 1786 of the family's 3401-position model. Lineage: Eukaryota; Metazoa; Annelida; Myzostomida; Myzostomatidae. The record is from RNAcentral.
GGAAUCGCUAAACAGCGUGUAUGUGGCGGUGCUUGUCCGCACGUAUUCCGAAAGGGAAUGAGGUUAAUAUUCCUCAACCUGGUAUCUUCACGUAGGCUCGUAGCCUCAGAGCGGUAACGCAAGUGAACCGGGAGACGCUAUCGUUAGCUCCAGCAAGAGUUAUCUUUUCUUGUUUAGGGAUUGCUGACCCUGAAAUCAGURUCAUUCGGCGAUAGGGUUGGCUGGUCCCGUAGAGCACUGUACCUUUCACAGUGUCU